GGUGUGUUGGUACUGAACAGGUGUGUUACUACUGAACAGGUGUGUUGCUAUUGAACAGGUGUGUUGCUACUGAACAGUUGUGUUGGUACUGAACAGGUGUGUUGCUAUUGAACAGGUGUGUUGGUACUCAACAGGUGUGUUGGUAUUGAACAGGUGUGUUGCUACUGAACAGGUGUGUUGCUACAGAACAGGUGUGUUGCUACUGAACAGGUGUGUUGGUACUGAACAGGUGUGUUGCUACUGAACAGGUGUGUUGCUACUGAACAGGUGUGUUGCUACUGAACAGGUGUGUUGGUACUGAACAGGUGUGUUGCUACUGAACCGGUGUGUUGCUACUGAACAGGUGUGUUGCUACUGAACCGGUGUGUUGCUACUGAACAGGUGUGUUGCUACUGAACCGGUGUGUUGCUACUGAACAGGUGUGUUGCUACUGAACCGGUGUGUUGCUACUGAACAGGUGUGUUGCUACUGAACAGGUGUGUUGCUACUGUUGUUCUGCUGUCGAUGUACUCAGACACCCACCCAACUUGUUGGACAUUAAUCUUUUCCCUGCAGAGACUAACUUAGAUCAGUUUCAUACAUGACUAGGUUUAUUAGAGGAUAAUAUGGCUGGUGUGUGUGUGUGUGUGUGUGGUAGUCACUGAUAUUGGAAUGAAUCUGGCUCUCAUCUAGACUAAUUCCAGACCGGCUCAAAUGCUAUAUGCUAUAUGCAAACUUUAUUCUGUGUUCAGAUGUUUUUAUUUUGAUAUACUUUCCAUAUAACAACAAUGACAAUGUAGAACGUUCCACAUACAACAGGGUACAGUAUGUACUCAAAAAUGCUAGAAAAGCUUAAUGUAGAUAUCCAUAUAUACAUUCAUGUAUAAAAUAAUAUAAAUGCAC
Molecule: long non-coding RNA, 882 nt
Organism: Clupea harengus (Atlantic herring)
Lineage: Eukaryota; Metazoa; Chordata; Actinopteri; Clupeiformes; Clupeidae
Source: Ensembl